This 547-nucleotide ribosomal RNA is filed under the name uncultured bacterium. Its description in RNAcentral is "bacterial SSU rRNA". It matches the Rfam family "Bacterial small subunit ribosomal RNA", at positions 355 to 896 of the family's 1533-position model. The record is from RNAcentral.
UGGGGAAUAUUGCGCAAUGGGGGGAACCCUGACGCAGCCAUGCCGCGUGAAUGAAGAAGGCCUUCGGGUUGUAAAGUUCUUUCGGUAUUGAGGAAGGUUGAUGUGUUAAUAGCACAUCAAAUUGACGUUAAAUACAGAAGAAGCACCGGCUAACUCCGUGCCAGCAGCCGCGGUAAUACGGAGGGUGCGAGCGUUAAUCGGAAUAACUGGGCGUAAAGGGCACGCAGGCGGUUAUUUAAGUGAGGUGUGAAAGCCCCGGGCUUAACCUGGGAAUUGCAUUUCAGACUGGGUAACUAGAGUACUUUAGGGAGGGGUAGAAUUCCACGUGUAGCGGUGAAAUGCGUAGAGAUGUGGAGGAAUACCGAAGGCGAAGGCAGCCCCUUGGGAAUGUACUGACGCUCAUGUGCGAAAGCGUGGGGAGCAGACAGGAUUAGAUACCCUGGUAGUCCACGCUGUAAACGCUGUCGAUUUGGGGGUUGGGGUUUAACUCUGGCGCCCGUAGCUAACGUGAUAAAUCGACCGCCUGGGGAGUACGGCCGCAAGGUUA